CCAAACUGAACCGAAACAAAAGAAAAACUACAUUUCCCAGAAGGCAGAGCGGCAAGCUGGAAAAGAAGCGCCUUCUUGGGGAACCCCGGGGGCGGGACUUCCGACGUUCUGGAUCUCAUUCUUGCUUCACAGACCAUCUUUCCAAUGGUUCACCGUUCUGGGCAGAAACAGGCUCCUGUGAAUCGAGGGGCGCGAACCAGAAGGACUUCGAGGACAGAGGACCAACUCCCACCUUCUGCGCCUUGAUUUCAUUUGAUGAUGUGGCUGUGACCUUCACUGUGGAGGAAUGGGAAGAUCUGGACCUGGCUCAGAGGACCCUGUACCAGGAAGUGAUGAUGGAGACCUUCUGCUUUCACUGAGUGACGAAGCAAAAUUGGAUGAUGCCUCAAAAUCCACUGCUUCUAAGUUGACUUUUUACCUCCAAGAACAACUGUCACAGAGAUCCUCAGAGGACUCCAGGUUAGGGCAGAUCAAGGAGAAAGAAACAUGGUCAGAAAUACAAAAUGGGAACACAAGGACAACAGACUCCUCCAAAGAGACAUUCCCUGGAAAGCUGAGGCAAAAACAUGGUACUUUGGAGACAGAUAAUAGUUUCUGUUUACAGGUCUUACAGGAGCAAACUACUCCAUAG
This 631-nucleotide long non-coding RNA is filed under the name Rattus norvegicus (Norway rat). RNAcentral describes it as "long non-coding RNA NONRATT033916". The record is from RNAcentral. Lineage: Eukaryota; Metazoa; Chordata; Mammalia; Rodentia; Muridae.